GCAGAGCUCAAAGGCCUGUGUGCUUCCACACAAAGGGAUUUGUUUGUUUGUGUGUUUGGUUCCUGCAGGUGCCAGAGCAGUGCUGUGGGCUCAGUGGCCCGUCCUGAGGGGGGGACAGGGCAGGUUGUCCCCAGGGCACCGUGGGGCCGGUGCUGGUGUGAGCAGUGCUGCUCGCUGGGCACACUGCUGCUCCCGGAGCAGCUGCUCCUGCUGAUCCUGCAGCUGGAUUUUGGUGUUUCUGAGGAGCUGGCAGUGCUGGAGGAGGCCGAGCAGCUCCUGGCGCAGGAGCCUGUUCUCUGCUUUCACCUGUUCCACGUGCUGGAUCAGAGCCUUGAACGCCACCUCCUGCGCUCCCCAGGUGAGCUCCUGCAUCCUCUGCUGGAACUGCUGCUCACAGUCAGCCUUUUCCUGCAGGAACUUGCUCCUGACGGCGUGGCUUUCCUCGGCACAGCGUAUCCUGGUGACCCGCAGCUCCUUCUCCAGCGCCUUCACCUUCUGCUCCGCCUGGACCUUCUGCUCCUUGUAGGGCUCCAGCUCCUCCAGCUCUGUGUCCAGGAGCGAGGCCUCGGCCUCCGUGUCCUUCAGGGCACCCCUCACCUCCCGCUCCUUGCCAGCAUACCGUGGGGUCAGCUCCUCCUUCUGCUCCUGGAUUCGGGCCAGAUCCUGGCAGUUCUGGUGGCUGAGGGUGAUGAUCAUUUCCGGGGGGUCCUGGCUGAGCUUUGCUCCGCAGGACAGGUAGGACUGGCUCUGCUCCUGAGUGUCCUGGCCUUCCUUUUCCAGGCGUUUGUUUCCGUGCAGGAGCUGCUCUGCUCUCCCCAGGGCCUCUCCAUCCUUGCUUUUCGUUGUUUUGGAUGCCAUAUCCCAGCCAAGACGUGAAAAACUGAAACAGAAGGAAAAACCAGCUCAGAGUGAACAUUUUUGCCCCAGUCCUGCCCUUGUGUUUCCAGCUGGUUCUUCCAUCUGCUCAAUAUGUUUAACCCAAAACUGUUUGGGGUGGAAGCGCAGUUGCUGUACCUGGAUUUGCAUUUCCCAUCCUGAAUUGCCUCAGGAGAAAACCAAAAAUGCACAUUUUUAAAGAUUUCUCUUUUUUGCCAUGGAAUGUUGGGAUAUUCCUGUGGUUUGGAGGAAGAAAUGCAAGUCUGCCCCUUUCCUCCCCCGCUGAUUCCAGUGUUUGAAGAGGCAGCUGCAUCCCAAACCAGAAUCUCCUCUCUAAAACCAGUAUCUCACAUCCCAAUUUCAGGACAUUCUCUUUAAAAAAAAAAUAAUUAUCAGCAUUAAUUUAAUGAGGUUCAGGUUUUAAAACACUUUUUAAGCAUUAAUUUCAGGAUUGGCUGAAUUCCUGAACUAUUUAUUCCAGUGUAAAAUGCUGGAAUUCAGGAUUUAGAGCUGACAGGUCCGAUAGUUUUGGUGAAUAUUUGUAAUUAAAAAUUCCCAUUUCCUAAUACAACUCAUGUCAAUUCUUAAGGAAAAAAAAUUGCAAAAUUCCUGGAGAUGGAUGACAAGCAGAAUAAAUCCAUGAACUCCCAGCA
This 1529-nucleotide long non-coding RNA is filed under the name Parus major (Great Tit). Its description in RNAcentral is "lncRNA (ENSPMJG00000013483.1)". The record is from RNAcentral. Lineage: Eukaryota; Metazoa; Chordata; Aves; Passeriformes; Paridae.